Molecule: ribosomal RNA, 253 nt
Filed under: uncultured bacterium
Lineage: Bacteria
Description: partial 16S ribosomal RNA
Rfam family: Bacterial small subunit ribosomal RNA
Source: RNAcentral
UACGUAGGGGGCAAGCGUUGUCCGGAAUCAUUGGGCGUAAAGAGCGUGUAGGCGGUCCUGUAAGUCCGCUGUGAAAGUCAAGGGCUCAACCCUUGAAUGCCGGUGGAUACUGCAGGACUAGAGUCCGGAAGAGGCGAGUGGAAUUCCUGGUGUAGCGGUGAAAUGCGCAGAUAUCAGGAGGAACACCAAUGGCGAAGGCAGCUCGCUGGGACGUGACUGACGCUGAGACGCGAAAGCGUGGGGAGCAAACAGG